RNAcentral lists this ribosomal RNA (379 nucleotides) under uncultured bacterium. Its description in RNAcentral is "partial 16S ribosomal RNA". It matches the Rfam family "Bacterial small subunit ribosomal RNA", at positions 338 to 734 of the family's 1533-position model. The record is from RNAcentral.
CCUACGGGAGGCAGCAGUGGGGAAUAUUGCACAAUGGGGGAAACCCUGAUGCAGCGACGCCGCGUGAGCGAUGAAGUAUUUCGGUAUGUAAAGCUCUAUCAGCAGGGAAGAAAAUGACGGUACCUGACUAAGAAGCCCCGGCUGACGACGUGCCAGCAGCCGCGGUAAUACGUAGGGGGCGAGCGUUAUCCGGCUGUACUGGGUGUAAAGGGAGCGUAGACGGUCUUGCAAGCCAGAUGUGAAAUACCGGGGCUCAACCCCGGGACUACAUUUGAAACUGUAGGGCUAGAGUGCCGCAGUGGCAGGCGGAAUGCCUAGUGUAGCGGUGAAAUGCGUAGAUAUUAGGAGGAACACCAGUGGCGAAGGCGGCCUGCUGGAC